RNAcentral lists this microRNA precursor (146 nucleotides) under Podarcis lilfordi (Lilford's wall lizard). The record is from RNAcentral. Lineage: Eukaryota; Metazoa; Chordata; Lepidosauria; Squamata; Lacertidae.
UUGGGGUGGGGAGAAUGGAAAACUGCAGGUGGGGUGACAGGAUAAUAAUAAUAAUAAUAAUAAUAAUAAUAAUAAUAAUAAUCUGUUGUUGUUUUUGUUGUUGUCUUGUCACCCCACCUGCAGUUUUCCAUUUCCUCCACCCAUUA